CACACAAACACAAUCCAUGUCUCAAAUGUCUCAAGGUUUAAAUAUCAUUCUUCAACCAGUCUCCUCCCCUUCAUCUACUCUGAAGUGGAUUUAACCUGUCUCCUCCCCUUCACCUACUCUGAAGUGGAUUCAACCUGUCUCCUCCCCUUCAUCUACUCUGAAGUGGAUUCAACCUGUCUCCUCCCCUUCACCUACUCUGAAGUGGAUUCAACCUGUCUCCUCCCCUUCAUCUACUCUGAAGUGGAUUCAACCUGUCUCCUCCCCUUCAUCUACUCUGAAGUGGAUUCAACCUGUCUCCUCCCCUUCACCUACUCUGAAGUGGAUUUAACCUGUCUCCUCCCCUUCAUCUACUCUGAAGUGGAUUUAACCUGUCUCCUCCCCUUCAUCUACUCUGAAGUGGAUUUAACCUGUCUCCUCCCCUUCAUCUACUCUGAAGUGGAUUUAACCUGUCUCCUCCCCUUCAUCUACUCUGAAGUGGAUUCAACCUGUCUCCUCCCCUUCAUCUACUCUGAAGUGGAUUUAACCUGUCUCCUCCCCUUCACCUACUCUGAAGUGGAUUCAACCUGUCUCCUCCCCUUCAUCUACUCUGAAGUGGAUUUAACCUGUCUCCUCCCCUUCAUCUACUCUGAAGUGGAUUUAACCUGUCUCCUCCCCUUCAUCUACUCUGAAGUGGAUUUAACCUGUCUCCUCCCCUUCAUCUACUCUGAAGUGGAUUUAACCAGUCUCCUCCCCUUCAUCUUCACCUACUCUGAAGUGGAUUUAACCUGUCUCCUCCCCUUCAUCUACUCUGAAGUGGAUUUAACCUGUCUCCUCCCCUUCAUCUACUCUGAAGUGGAUUUAACCUGUCUCCUCCCCUUCAUCUACUCCGAAGUGGAUUUAACCUGUCUCCUCCCCUUCAUCUACUCUGAAGUGGAUUUAACCUGUCUCCUCUCCUUCAUCUACUCUGAAGUGGAUUUAACCUGUCUCCUCCCCUUCAUCUACUCUGAAGUGGAUUUAACCUGUCUCCUCCCCUUCACCUACUCUGAAGUGGAUUUAACCUGUCUCCUCCCCUUCAUCUACUCUGAAGUGGAUUCAACCUGUCUCCUCCCCUUCACCUACUCUGAAGUGGAUUUAACCUGUCUCCUCCCCUUCACCUACUCUGAAGUGGAUUCAACCUGUCUCCUCCCCUUCAUCUUCACCUACUCUGAAGUGGAUUUAACCUGUCUCCUCCCCUUCACCUACUCUGAAGUGGAUUCAACCUGUCUCCUCCCCUUCAUCUACUCUGAAGUGGAUUUAACCUGUCUCCUCCCCUUCAUCUACUCUGAAGUGGAUUUAACCUGUCUCCUCCCCUUCAUCUACUCUGAAGUGGAUUCAACCUGUCUCCUCCCCUUCAUCUUCACCUACUCUGAAGUGGAUUUAACCUGUCUCCUCCCCUUCACCUACUCUGAAGUGGAUUUAACCUGUCUCCUCCCCUUCACCUACUCUGAAGUGGAUUUAACCUGUCUCCUCCCCUUCACCUACUCUGAAGUGGAUUUAACCUGUCUCCUCCCCUUCACCUACUCUGAAGUGGAUUUAACCUGUCUCCUCCCCUUCACCUACUCUGAAGUGGAUUCAACCUGUCACCUCCCCUUCAUCUACUCUGAAGUGGAUUCAACCUGUCUCCUCCCCUUCACCUACUCUGAAGUGGAUUCAACCUGUCUCCUCCCCUUCAUCUACUCUGAAGUGGAUUCAACCUGUCUCCUCCCCUUCACCUACUCUGAAGUGGAUUCAACCUGUCUCCUCCCCUUCAUCUACUCUGAAGUGGAUUCAACCUGUCUCCUCCCCUUCAUCUACUCUGAAGUGGAUUUAACCUGUCUCCUCCCCUUCACCUACUCUGAAGUGGAUUCAACCUGUCUCCUCCCCUUCAUCUACUCUGAAGUGGAUUCAACCUGUCUCCUCCCCUUCACCUACUCUGAAGUGGAUUUAACCUGUCUCCCCCCCUUCAUCUACUCUGAAGUGGAUUUAACCUGUCUCCUCCCCUUCAUCUACUCUGAAGUGGAUUUAACAAGUGACGUCAAUAAGGGAUCACAGCUUUCACCAUCGAAAGAGCAGGUGUUCUUAAUGUUUUGUCCACUCAGUGUAUAUAGUGAAUGUUGUGUCAUAUGGGCUGUAGACUGCAGACUCAGUGUUAAAGAGGUUUAUAGAGGUUUCAUCUCAGUGUUAUUAGAGGUUUCAUCUCAGUGUUAUUAG
Long non-coding RNA from Oncorhynchus mykiss (rainbow trout), 2208 nucleotides. Lineage: Eukaryota; Metazoa; Chordata; Actinopteri; Salmoniformes; Salmonidae. The record is from Ensembl.